This is a long non-coding RNA of Solanum dulcamara, 1634 nucleotides long. RefSeq lists it as uncharacterized. The record is from RefSeq and is a predicted model, not a curated record. NCBI's taxonomy places the organism in Eukaryota, Viridiplantae, Streptophyta, Magnoliopsida, Solanales, Solanaceae. The transcript is spliced from 4 exons.
ACAAGCUCUCCGAAGGGUUUCUGACAGACCAAAAGUCCAAGUUAAGAAUUUCUCAAAGGCUCGGGCUCGAUUUUUGUCCGCAAUCACCGUAGUUGCUAAGUUGAGCUUCUUAGUUACUUUUAGUUUCAAGCUGAGCUUUUACAACAAGGUUUAGCUAAUAAAAUUAGUAGAAUUUGUCUACUAAAGGAAAACGGGCCUAAAACCCAAACAAACGACCAGACGAUCGAACAGUAAGUGCCAGUGACUUGGGAUCGCUACAGGUAUUUUUUAAAGAAGAUAGUUUCAGUUUUACAGGCUUAUGAGACACAGUCAGCACAAAAAAUCAACAUGGAGAAGAGUGUUUUUUCAUGCAUCAGAAUGCAGUUGCAACUCAUAAGCAAUUGGUUAAAGAGUGCACAGAACAUCAUCAUAAGGGAAAAAGCUCAGAAUCCGAAGUAUUUCGAGGUUAAUUCGAGGCAAGUGAAUUUCUAAAUAUUUGCUUAAGCUUGUACGAUCAUAUAUUCAUGUCUUAUAUGUUGAGGAGUAAUGGGAAGUGGUUUUGGGGACUAUUUGAUAUUCAAUUAAACUUGAUAAUGAAGAAUGGGGUAAUAAAUGGCAAAUGAGAUAAUUUAACAUGACGUAUUCAAUAUGAUUAAGUCUUGACUAAUUGUGAGUAUGUGGAUAGAUUGUUGUGACAUGAGUUAUGGAUUAUCAUUGAUAUCAUUCCAUUAUUGUGGUUUACAUAAACAUUGCCUAUUUGAAUAGGUUCUGCUAUAUAUUGAGAUGGAAAUGUGGAUAGAUUGUUGUGACAUGAGUUGUGACUUAUCAUUGAUAUCAUUUCAUUAUUGUGAUUUACAUGAACAUUGCCUAUUUACAUUAGUUCUGAUAUAUUGAGAUGGAAUUGAUUUGAGGAUUAUUCCGAAGGGAAAUGGUUCUGGAAAUGCCAAAGGAAAAUGGUUCUGAUGAGUGAUGAUUAUUCCAAAGGAAAAUGGUUAUGGCGAUGCCGAAGAAAAAUAGUUUUGGCGAUUGAUAUUUAUGCCGAAGCGAAAUGGUUCCAAUGGAUACAUGGUACAUUGUGCCCCUAUGGGUUUCGGACUUCUAGUCAGCAGAUGUGUAUCAUUAGGGCUAACAUGCAUCACUAUACGUGACAUUGCAUUGCACUACAUUGCAUCAUACAUCUUUUUCCAUUUGUGGAUAUGUUUACCCUUGAUAUUUCUGUGAUUUAUCCUAUUGAUUGGUGUGACUUGACUGAGACUUGAGCUGUGUUGUUGUUGAUAUAUAUAUAUAUAUACUUGUGUUGUUAGACUAGGCUGAUUUCUAUGCAGAUUGUAGUUUGAGGGGUUCGGUUGGUAUGACAUUCAUACUUGCAUUUUAUUAGCUUUGUUUAGUCUUAGUUGUUUACUUGCUGGUACCACAUUAUUGGUACUUACUUCUUGCUAACUACACUUGUAUAGGUUCUAAGCCCGAACAGUGACCCAGUUUCUUUCGUUCAUCUGAGGCUUACUAGAGAAAACUUGAGAGGUAGUUGUUGAUACUGGUGAUCUUUCUUGUUCCUUUUUAAUUUUACUUUGUUCUAUCUGAGAGACAAAGAUUUGAGACUUAUUUUUAUUUCAGUAUCAUUAUAUUUAGAGGCUUGUACAUGUGACAAUCAGUUC